This 492-nucleotide ribosomal RNA is filed under the name uncultured bacterium. Its description in RNAcentral is "partial 16S ribosomal RNA". It matches the Rfam family "Bacterial small subunit ribosomal RNA", at positions 29 to 507 of the family's 1533-position model. The record is from RNAcentral.
AGUGAACGCUGGCGGUAGGCCUAACACAUGCAAGUCGAACGGCAGCACAGUAAGAGCUUGCUCUUACGGGUGGCGAGUGGCGGACGGGUGAGGAAUACAUCGGAAUCUACUUUUUCGUGGGGGAUAACGUAGGGAAACUUACGCUAAUACCGCAUACGACCUACGGGUGAAAGCAGGGGAUCUUCGGACCUUGCGCGAUUGAAUGAGCCGAUGUCGGAUUAGCUAGUUGGCGGGGUAAAGGCCCACCAAGGCGACGAUCCGUAGCUGGUCUGAGAGGAUGAUCAGCCACACUGGAACUGAGACACGGUCCAGACUCCUACGGGAGGCAGCAGUGGGGAAUAUUAGACAAUGGGCGCAAGCCUGAUCCAGCCAUACCGCGUGGGUGAAGAAGGCCUUCGGAUUGUAAAGCCCUUUUGUUGGGAAAGAAAAACAGCAGAUUAAUACCCCGCUGUUCUGACGGUACCCAAAGAAUAAGCACCGGCUAACUUCGUG